RNAcentral lists this ribosomal RNA (253 nucleotides) under uncultured bacterium. RNAcentral describes it as "partial 16S ribosomal RNA". It matches the Rfam family "Bacterial small subunit ribosomal RNA", at positions 524 to 776 of the family's 1533-position model. The record is from RNAcentral.
UACGUAGGGACCAAGCGUUGUUCGGAUUUACUGGACGUAAAGGGCGCGUAGGCGGCGCGGUAAGUCACUUGUGAAAUCUCUGAGCUUAACUCAGAACGGCCAAGUGAUACUGCAGUGCUAGAGUGUGGAAGGGGCAAUCGGAAUUCUUGGUGUAGCGGUGAAAUGCGUAGAUAUCAAGAGGAACACCUGAGGUGAAGACGGGUUGCUGGGCCAACACUGACGCUGAGGCGCGAAAGCCAGGGGAGCAAACGGG